UCCGGUUUGUCACCGGCAGUCUCAUUAGAGUGCCCUUUCGUAGCAACUAAUGACAAGGGUUGCGCUCGUUGCGGGACUUAACCCAACAUCUCACGACACGAGUUGACGACAGCCAUGCAGCACCUGUGUUCUGGCUCCCUUUCGGGCACUCCCACAUCUCUGCGGGAUUCCAGACAUGUCAAGGGUAGGUAAGGUGGGGAUGACGUCCGGAAUGUCGAUA
Molecule: unclassified non-coding RNA, 220 nt
Filed under: uncultured Gammaproteobacteria bacterium
Lineage: Bacteria; Pseudomonadati; Pseudomonadota; Gammaproteobacteria
Description: contains 16S-23S intergenic spacer region
Source: RNAcentral